Long non-coding RNA from Populus nigra (black poplar), 719 nucleotides. RefSeq lists it as uncharacterized. The transcript is spliced from 3 exons. NCBI's taxonomy places the organism in Eukaryota, Viridiplantae, Streptophyta, Magnoliopsida, Malpighiales, Salicaceae. The record is from RefSeq and is a predicted model, not a curated record.
AAGAUAGUUGAAAAAGAGACGACUAGUAGCAGUAACAGUAGACAGGACAAUGUAUGCGUGUGAGUGUGUUUUCGUUUUUUGGAUUUUAUUGGUGAUUCGUUAAUAAAGUAUGGCUAGGUUUUCGACAUGUAAAUUACAGAAUAAGGAGACUGUCUAGCAAGUAGCUACAGACAGGAAGGAGGAAGACAGCAAAUGAAUGGCGAGAUUCUGUACCAUGCAAAACACAAACUAAGAAGUUACAAGAAAAGCAGGCGGUCAAUUAGUUAAGAUGGUAAAGAUCGAUCUGGAUACGGGCUAGGUUUAGUUUUUCCGAUGCUGACACGCCUAAUCAAAGCAAAACUGGAAGAGUGCGCCAUCUUGCAGGGAACGAGAAAAUUUCUUCUGGCUGCGGAACUUUGCAAAUUGCAGAACUUUUUAUCAAACCCGUCAAGUUAUAAAUGGAAGGUAUGUGGGUCUUACGAAAUUCCUUGCUUUGGGAAUGAGGAUUUGGAUCUAGUUAAUGUCUGAAACUUGCUUGUGCUUCGCUGUUUUGUAUAUUGCUUGCCAAUCCCCAAACUCCGGUCACAUGGUCACAUGGAGGUGUUCCUUUCGUGUUCCUUGUGGGCUCUCUCUUCUGUGCAGGGAUAGCCUCAAAUGUCACAUUUAAGUUUCUGCUAUGUGUGGACACUGGUCCUUAUGGGCCCAUUCAUCAAUUUCAUUAUCCACAACCCUUUCUCUCU